Molecule: non-coding RNA, 99 nt
Organism: Podospora fimiseda
Lineage: Eukaryota; Fungi; Ascomycota; Sordariomycetes; Sordariales; Podosporaceae
Source: the annotation of a GenBank genome assembly
GGGCUCGUGGUCUAGUGGUAUGAUUCUCGCUUAGGGUUACUACCUGAGCUUCUAUGCCUUGCAUGCGAGAGGCCCCGGGUUCGACUCCCGGCGAGCCCC